RNAcentral lists this ribosomal RNA (497 nucleotides) under uncultured bacterium. RNAcentral describes it as "partial 16S ribosomal RNA". It matches the Rfam family "Bacterial small subunit ribosomal RNA", at positions 28 to 507 of the family's 1533-position model. The record is from RNAcentral.
GAUGAACGCUGGCGGCGUGCCUAAUACAUGCAAGUCGAGCGAACAGAUGAGGAGCUUGCUCCUCUGGCGUUAGCGGCGGACGGGUGAGUAACACGUGGAUAACCUACCUAUAAGACUGGGAUAACUUCGGGAAACCGGAGCUAAUACCGGAUAAUAUAUUGAACCGCAUGGUUCAAUAAUGAAAGACGGUUUUGCUGUCACUUAUAGAUGGAUCCGCGCCGCAUUAGCUAGUUGGUAAGGUAACGGCUUACCAAGGCAACGAUGCGUAGCCGACCUGAGAGGGUGAUCGGCCACACUGGAACUGAGACACGGUCCAGACUCCUACGGGAGGCAGCAGUAGGGAAUCUGCCGCAAUGGGCGAAAGCCUGACGGAGCAACGCCGCGUGAGUGAUGAAGGUCUUCGGAUCGUAAAACUCUGUUAUGAGUGAAGAACAAAUGUGUAAGUAACUAUGCACGUCGUGACGGUACCUAAUCAGAAAGCCACGGCUAACUACGUG